Molecule: ribosomal RNA, 501 nt
Filed under: uncultured bacterium
Lineage: Bacteria
Description: bacterial SSU rRNA
Rfam family: Bacterial small subunit ribosomal RNA
Source: RNAcentral
GUACGAGUUAGAGUUUAGUGGCUCGAGGACGAACGCUGGCGGCGUGCCUAACACAUGCAAGUCGAGCGAGGAGAUUCCUUCGGGAUGAUCCUAGCGGCGGACGGGUGAGUAACACGUGGGCAACCUGCCUCAUAGAGAGGAAUAGCCUUCCGAAAGGGAGAUUAAUACCUCAUAACAUUGCAGUUUCGCAUGGAACAGCAAUUAAAGGAGUAAUCCGCUAUGAGAUGGGCCCGCGGCGCAUUAGCUAGUUGGUGAGGUAACGGCUCACCAAGGCGACGAUGCGUAGCCGACCUGAGAGGGUGAUCGGCCACAUUGGGACUGAGACACGGCCCAGACUCCUACGGGAGGCAGCAGUGGGGAAUAUUGCACAAUGGGGGAAACCCUGAUGCCAGCAACGCCGCGUGAGUGAUGACGGCCUUCGGGUUGUAAAGCUCUGUCUUCAGGGACGAUAAUGACGGUACCUGAGGAGGAAGCCACGGCUAACUACGUGCCAGCCGCGGC